Molecule: ribosomal RNA, 490 nt
Filed under: uncultured bacterium
Lineage: Bacteria
Description: partial 16S ribosomal RNA
Rfam family: Bacterial small subunit ribosomal RNA
Source: RNAcentral
AUUGAACGCUGGCGGCAGGCCUAACACAUGCAAGUCGAACGGUAACAGGAAACAGCUUGCUGUUUCGCUGACGAGUGGCGGACGGGUGAGUAAUGUCUGGGAAACUGCCUGAUGGAGGGGGAUAACUACUGGAAACGGUAGCUAAUACCGCAUAACGUCGCAAGACCAAAGAGGGGGACCCUCGGGCCUCUUGCCAUCGGAUGUGCCCAGAUGGGAUUAGCUUGUUGGUGGGGUAACGGCCCACCAAGGCGACGAUCCCUAGCUGGUCUGAGAGGAUGACCAGCCACACUGGAACUGAGACACGGUCCAGACUCCUACGGGAGGCAGCAGUGGGGAAUAUUGCACAAUGGGCGCAAGCCUGAUGCAGCCAUGCCGCGUGUAUGAAGAAGGCCUUCGGGUUGUAAAGUACUUUCAGCGGGGAGGAAGGGAGUAAAGUUAAUACCUUUGCUCAUUGACGUUACCCGCAGAAGAAGCACCGGCUAACUCCGUG